CCUCUUCAACUUCGGCAUCUGCAAGGGGGGUCGGCGGCACGGCUCCGGGACGAACCCCAGGGUGAGACCUGUGUUCCGACUCCCUCUGGAGCUAAUGGUGUCCAGUAGCCUAAGAAGCAAAUCCAUCCUGCACGCAGGGACUCCGACAGAAGCAUUUCCAUACUGCUUAGGGGAAAACUCUAUCGGAAAGGUUCCUGCUUUUUAUCUUAUAUCUUACCAAUAAUAAAACGAUAAAUUAUGCAAUGAUGUAAGGAGAACUGGAGGGGCUUCCCACCAUACUGUACAUAGCUGGUGCCCCCUGUGGCAGAACACUGGAGCAGUCACUGACAGAACAGGGACGCGGAGGACUUCAGACUUGGGGGCAGCUGAAACAUAUCUGGAAACUAUAAUCA
Pseudophryne corroboree (corroboree frog) is the source of this 392-nucleotide long non-coding RNA. RefSeq lists it as uncharacterized. NCBI's taxonomy places the organism in Eukaryota, Metazoa, Chordata, Amphibia, Anura, Myobatrachidae. The record is from RefSeq and is a predicted model, not a curated record. The transcript has 3 exons.